AGAUUGAACGCUGGCGGCAGGCCUAACACAUGCAAGUCGAGCGGAUGAGAGGAGCUUGCUCCUCGAUUCAGCGGCGGACGGGUGAGUAAUGCCUAGGAAUCUGCCUAGUAGUGGGGGACAACGUUUCGAAAGGAACGCUAAUACCGCAUACGUCCUACGGGAGAAAGUGGGGGAUCUUCGGACCUCACGCUAUUAGAUGAGCCUAGGUCGGAUUAGCUAGUUGGUAGGGUAAAGGCCUACCAAGGCGACGAUCCGUAACUGGUCUGAGAGGAUGAUCAGUCACACUGGAACUGAGACACGGUCCAGACUCCUACGGGAGGCAGCAGUGGGGAAUAUUGGACAAUGGGCGAAAGCCUGAUCCAGCCAUGCCGCGUGUGUGAAGAAGGCCUUCGGGUCGUAAAGCACUUUAAGUUGGGAGGAAGGGCUCAUAGCGAAUACCUGUGAGUUUUGACGUUACCAACAGAAUAAGCACCGGCUAACUUCGUGCCAGCAGCCGCGGUAAUACGAAGGGUGCAAGCGUUAAUCGGAAUUACUGGGCGUAAAGCGCGCGUAGGUGGCUUGAUAAGUUGGAUGUGAAAUCCCCGGGCUCAACCUGGGAACUGCAUCCAAAACUGUCUGGCUAGAGUGCGGUAGAGGGUAGUGGAAUUUCCAGUGUAGCGGUGAAAUGCGUAGAUAUUGGAAGGAACACCAGUGGCGAAGGCGACUACCUGGACUGACACUGACACUGAGGUGCGAAAGCGUGGGGAGCAAACAGGAUUAGAUACCCUGGUAGUCCACGCCGUAAACGAUGUCAACUAGCCGUUGGGAUCCUUGAGAUCUUAGUGGCGCAGCUAACGCAUUAAGUUGACCGCCUGGGGAGUACGGCCGCAAGGUUAAAACUCAAAUGAAUUGACGGGGGCCCGCACAAGCGGUGGAGCAUGUGGUU
This 925-nucleotide ribosomal RNA is filed under the name Pseudomonas oryzihabitans. RNAcentral's name for it is "bacterial SSU rRNA". It matches the Rfam family "Bacterial small subunit ribosomal RNA", at positions 26 to 946 of the family's 1533-position model. Lineage: Bacteria; Pseudomonadati; Pseudomonadota; Gammaproteobacteria; Pseudomonadales; Pseudomonadaceae. The record is from RNAcentral.